This is a long non-coding RNA of Haliotis rubra (blacklip abalone), 199 nucleotides long. RefSeq lists it as uncharacterized. The transcript is spliced from 3 exons. Lineage: Eukaryota; Metazoa; Mollusca; Gastropoda; Lepetellida; Haliotidae. The record is from RefSeq and is a predicted model, not a curated record.
GGCAAUACAGUGUGACGUCAUGCAAAAAGUGUACUACAAAACAAAAUUCUUCCGCAACCUCUUUAUGAAACCGUUUUCGGUUUGAAGCCAUGAAACUAAACAUAAUACGCUAUUUUGUCAAUUUCAUGCAUGUAAGAUGUGGGCAAUAAGUGAAAUGCCACACUCGGUCUCAUUACAUACGAAGUAUACCAAACAAGUG